GCUCUGACUCUGCCCACCAUAUGGCUGCUCCCUGACUCUGAUCUGACCACCAUAUGGCUGCUCCCUGGCUCUGACCUGACCACCAUAUGGCUGCUCCCUUGCUCUGACCUGACCACCAUAUGGCUGCUCCCUGACGCUGAUCUGACCACCAUAUGGCUGCUUACUGGCUCUGACCUGACCACCAUAUGGCUGCUCCCUUGCUCUGACCUGACCACCAAAUGGCUGCUCCCUGACUCUGAUCUAACCACCAUAUGGCUGCUCCCUGGCUCUGACCUGACCACCAUUUGGCUGCUCCCUGGCUCUGCCUCUGACCUGACCACCAUAUGGCUGCUCCCUGACUCUGAACUGACCAUCAUAUGGCUGCUCCCUGACUCUGACCAUACCACCCUAUGGCUGCUCCCUGGCUCUGACCAGACCACCAUAUGGCUGCUCCCUGACUCUGACUUGACCACCAUAUGGCUGCUCCCUUGCUCUGACCUGACCACCAUAUGGCUGCUCCCUGGCUCUGACCAGACGACCAUAUGGCUGGUACCUGACUCUGACCUGACCACCAUAUGGCUGCUCCCUGGUUCUGACCUGACCACCAUAUGGCUGCUCCCUGGCUCUGACCUGACCACCAUAUGGCUGCUCCCUUGCUCUGACCUGACCACCAUAUGGCUGCUCCCCUGCUCUGGCUCUGACCUGACCACCAUAUGGCUGCUCCCUGACUCUUAUCUGACCACCAUAUGGCUCCUCCCUGGCUCUGACCUGACCACCAUAUGGCUGCUCCCUGGCUCUGGCUCUGACCUGACCACCAUUUGGCUGCUCCCUGACUCUGAUCUGACCACCAUAUGGCUGCUCCCUGGCUCUGACCUGACCACCAUAUGGCUGCUCCCUUGCUCUGACCUGACCACCAUAUGGCUGCUCCCUGACGCUGAUCUGACCACCAUAUGGCUGCUUACUGGCUCUGACCUGACCACCAUAUGGCUGCUCCCUUGCUCUGACCUGACCACCAAAUGGCUGCUCCCUGACUCUGAUCUAACCACCAUAUGGCUGCUCCCUGGCUCUGACCUGACCACCAUUUGGCUGCUCCCUGGCUCUGCCUCUGACCUGACCACCAUAUGGCUGCUCCCUGACUCUGAACUGACCAUCAUAUGGCUGCUCCCUGACUCUGACCAUACCACCCUAUGGCUGCUCCCUGGCUCUGACCAGACCACCAUAUGGCUGCUCCCUGACUCUGACUUGACCACCAUAUGGCUGCUCCCUUGCUCUGACCUGACCACCAUAUGGCUGCUCCCUGGCUCUGACCAGACGACCAUAUGGCUGGUACCUGACUCUGACCUGACCACCAUAUGGCUGCUCCCUGGUUCUGACCUGACCACCAUAUGGCUGCUCCCUGGCUCUGACCUGACCACCAUAUGGCUGCUCCCUUGCUCUUACCUGACCACCAUAUGGCUGCUCCCUGGCUCUGGCUCUGACCUGACCACC
Molecule: long non-coding RNA, 1467 nt
Filed under: Oncorhynchus mykiss (rainbow trout)
Lineage: Eukaryota; Metazoa; Chordata; Actinopteri; Salmoniformes; Salmonidae
Description: lncRNA (ENSOMYG00000063277.1)
Source: RNAcentral